AAAGCAGGGGAUCGUAAGACCUUGCGCUUUUGGAGUGGCCGAUGCCUGAUUAGCUAGUUGGUGGGGUAAGGGCCUACCAAGGCAACGAUCAGUAGUUGGUCUGAGAGGACGACCAGCCACACUGGGACUGAGACACGGCCCAGACUCCUACGGGAGGCAGCAGUGGGGAAUUUUGGACAAUGGGCGAAAGCCUGAUCCAGCAAUGCCGCGUGAGUGAAGAAGGCCUUCGGGUUGUAAAGCUCUUUCAGUCGAGAAGAAAAGGUUGUGACUAAUAAUCACAACUUAUGACGGUACCGACAGAAGAAGCACCGGCUAACUACGUGCCAGCAGCCGCGGUAAUACGUAGGGUGCGAGCGUUAAUCGGAAUUACUGGGCGUAAAGGGUGCGCAGGCGGCUUUGUAAGUCAGAUGUGAAAUCCCCGGGCUUAACCUGGGAAUUGCGUUUGAAACUACAAAGCUAGA
RNAcentral lists this ribosomal RNA (461 nucleotides) under uncultured ammonia-oxidizing beta proteobacterium. Its description in RNAcentral is "bacterial SSU rRNA". It matches the Rfam family "Bacterial small subunit ribosomal RNA", at positions 202 to 645 of the family's 1533-position model. Lineage: Bacteria; Pseudomonadati; Pseudomonadota; Betaproteobacteria. The record is from RNAcentral.